RNAcentral lists this long non-coding RNA (1050 nucleotides) under Oncorhynchus mykiss (rainbow trout). RNAcentral describes it as "lncRNA (ENSOMYG00000049199.1)". The record is from RNAcentral. Lineage: Eukaryota; Metazoa; Chordata; Actinopteri; Salmoniformes; Salmonidae.
AUGAAAGUUUGUUGCAGUUGGAGACGGUGUCUGAGAUGUGAACCUUGUUGCAGUUGGAGACGGUGUCUGAGAUGUGAACCUUGUUGCAGUUGGAGACGGUGUCUGAGAUGUGAACCUUGUUGCAGUUGGAGACGGUGUCUGAGAUGUGAACCGUGUUGCAGCUGGAGACGGUGUCUGAGAUGUGAACCUUGUUGGAGACGGUGUCUGAGAUGUGAACCUUGUUGCAGUUGGAGACGGUGUCUGAGAUGUGAACCUUGUUGCAGUUGGAGACGGUGUCUGAGAUGUGAACCUUGUUGGAGACGGUGUCUGAGAUGUGAACCUUGUUGCAGUUGGAGACGGUGUCUGAGAUGUGAACCUUGUUGGAGACGGUGUCUGAGAUGUGAACCUUGUUGCAGCUGGAGACGGUGUCUGAGAUGUGAACCUUGUUGGAGACGGUGUCUGAGAUGUGAACCUUGUUGCAGCUGGAGACGGUGUCUGAGAUAUGAACCUUGUUGGAGACGGUGUCUGAGAUGUGAACCUUGUUGGAGACGGUGUCUGAGAUGUGAACCUUGUUGGAGACGGUGUCUGAGAUGUGAACCUUGUUGGAGACGGUGUCUGAGAUGUGAACCUUGUUGCAGCUGGAGACGGUGUCUGAGAUGUGAACCUUGUUGGAGACGGUGUCUGAGAUGUGAACCUUGUUGCAGUUGGAGACGGUGUCUGAGAUGUGAACCUUGUUGGAGACGGUGUCUGAGAUGUGAACCUUGUUGCAGUUGGAGACGGUGUCUGAGAUGUGAACCUUGUUGGAGACGGUGUCUGAGAUGUGAACCUUGUUGCAGUUGGAGACGGUGUCUGACAUGUGAACCUUGUUGCAGUUGGAGACGGUGUCUGAGAUGUGAACCUUGUUGGAGACGGUGUCUGAGAUGUGAACCUUGUUGCAGUUGGAGACGGUGUCUGAGAUGUGAACCUUGUUGGAGACGGUGUCUGAGAUGUGAACCACUCUCAUUUCAGUUCAGUUCCACUAAGUUGCUGUGUGAAAGAUGGGUCCACACUCCCUCUAAACAAGGUUUAUAA